UACGGAGGAUGCAAGCGUUAUCCGGAUUUAUUGGGUUUAAAGGGUGCGUAGGCGGACUCAUAAGUCAGCGGUGAAAGUUUGCGGCUCAACCGUAAAAUUGCCGUUGAAACUGUGAGUCUUGAGUGUAGAUGAGGUGGGUGGAAUUCGUGGUGUAGCGGUGAAAUGCAUAGAUAUCACGAAGAACUCCAAUUGCGUAGGCAGCUCACUGGACUACAACUGACGCUGAGGCACGAAGGUGCGGGGAUCAAACAGG
RNAcentral lists this ribosomal RNA (253 nucleotides) under uncultured bacterium. RNAcentral's name for it is "partial 16S ribosomal RNA". It matches the Rfam family "Bacterial small subunit ribosomal RNA", at positions 524 to 776 of the family's 1533-position model. The record is from RNAcentral.